UACGUAGGGGGCAAGCGUUAUCCGGAUUUACUGGGUGUAAAGGGAGCGUAGACGGCAAGGCAAGUCCGAUGUGAAAACCCGCGGCUCAACUGCGGGAUUGCAUUGGAAACUGUUUAGCUCGAGUACUGGAGGGGUAAGCGGAAUUCCUAGUGUAGCGGUGAAAUGCGUAGAUAUUAGGAGGAACACCGGCGGCGAAGGCGGCUUACUGGACAGUAACUGACGUUGAGGCUCGAAAGCGUGGGGAG
RNAcentral lists this ribosomal RNA (245 nucleotides) under uncultured Lachnospiraceae bacterium. RNAcentral's name for it is "partial 16S ribosomal RNA". It matches the Rfam family "Bacterial small subunit ribosomal RNA", at positions 524 to 768 of the family's 1533-position model. The record is from RNAcentral. Lineage: Bacteria; Bacillati; Bacillota; Clostridia; Lachnospirales; Lachnospiraceae.